Molecule: unclassified non-coding RNA, 345 nt
Filed under: soil metagenome
Description: partial contains 5.8S ribosomal RNA, internal transcribed spacer 2, and large subunit ribosomal RNA
Rfam family: 5.8S ribosomal RNA (bases 1-120)
Source: RNAcentral
GAUGAAGAACGCAGCGAAAUGCGAUACUUGGUGUGAAUUGCAGAAUCCCGUGAACCAUCGAGUCUUUGAACGCAAGUUGCGCCCCCUGGUAUUCCGGGGGGCAUGCCUGUCCGAGCGUCAUUGCUGCCCUCAAGCACGGCUUGUGUGUUGGGCCUCCGUCCUCCUCCCGGGGGACGGGCCCGAAAGGCAGCGGCGGCACCGCGUCCGGUCCUCGAGCGUAUGGGGCUUCGUCACCCGCUCUUGUAGGCCCGGCCGGCGCUUGCCGACACAUCAAUCUUUUUUCCAGGUUGACCUCGGAUCAGGUAGGGAUACCCGCUGAACUUAAGCAUAUCAAUAAGCGGAGGA